GCUGAUACAAUGGGGCGUAUGCAUGUAGUUCUAGAUACUCAAGAGGCUGAGGCAGGAUAUCCUUUGAGUUCAAGGGUUCUGGGCUACAGUGUGUUAUGCCCCUCAGGUGUUCACAGUAAGUUUGGUAUGAAUAUGGUCACCUCCCAUGAGUAAUGACAUCAGAUUGUCUAGGGAGAGGUGAACCAGUCAAGGUUGGAAAUACAUCAUAUCAACAAUCCCCUGCUGAUCAGUAGUGGGAUUACACAUGUGGAAAGCCAUUAGAACCCAGCCUGGGCAGCACAGUAAGAUCUCAU
RNAcentral lists this signal recognition particle RNA (293 nucleotides) under Castor canadensis (American beaver). RNAcentral's name for it is "Metazoan signal recognition particle RNA (ENSCCNG00000009998.1)". It matches the Rfam family "Metazoan signal recognition particle RNA". Rfam says of the family: The signal recognition particle (SRP) is a universally conserved ribonucleoprotein. It is involved in the co-translational targeting of proteins to membranes. The eukaryotic SRP consists of a 300-nucleotide 7S RNA and six proteins: SRPs 72, 68, 54, 19, 14, and 9. Lineage: Eukaryota; Metazoa; Chordata; Mammalia; Rodentia; Castoridae. The record is from Rfam by way of RNAcentral.